AAAGGAGUUUCGAUGAUGUCGAUGAUGAGAUCAUGACAUGUCUUAUUACCAUACAGAAUUGAACCUAACUGGGUCACACAAACAAGGGUUAGGGUCUGGAUGUCAUCAAUUGGGCUACCCCAAUUGAUUUGGAUAAGAUCCAAUUAGGUUCAAAAAAAUCAUGCUAGCACUCGAUUGAGCCUAACUUUCUCCUCGUGUAAUCUUUUCUGUCUCUACUGAGCCAAAUAUGAUUUGGCUCAUCCAGAGAACCUUAGGAAGGUUUCUCUCAGUCUAAUUGAAGCUUGUCCAGCUUAGAAAAGGCUUGUCUUAAUUCAUGAG
This 318-nucleotide long non-coding RNA is filed under the name Elaeis guineensis (African oil palm). RNAcentral's name for it is "long non-coding RNA (EGUI_LNC079538)". Lineage: Eukaryota; Viridiplantae; Streptophyta; Magnoliopsida; Arecales; Arecaceae. The record is from RNAcentral.